AACCGUUGGAAACGACGGCUAAUACCCGAUAUACUCGGUGAUUCGGUUCAUCGAGUAAAGGCUCCGGUGCUUCGUGAUGGGCCUGCGGCCUAUCAGCUAGUAGGUGGGGUAAUGGCCCACCAAGGCGAAGACGGGUAGGGGGCGUGAGAGCGCGGCCCCCCACACUGGCACUGAGAUACGGGCCAGACUUCUACGGAAGGCAGCAGUCGGGGAUAUUGCACAAUCGGCGAAAGCCGGAUGCAGCGACGCCGCGUGGGCAAUGAAAGGCCUUCGGGUUGUAACGCCCUUUUAUGGGGGAAGAGACAAGGACGGUACCCCAAGAAUAAGCGUCGGCUAACUACGUGCCAGCAGCCGCGGUAAAACGUAGGACGCAAGCGUUAUCCGGAAUUAACUGGGCGUAAAGGAGCGUUGAGACGGUUCCGUAAAUUGGGGCGUGAAAGCACCCGGCUAAACCCCGGGGAGGUCGUUCAAUACUGCGGGACUUGAGGGCAGCAGAGGGAGGCCGGACUUCCCGGUGUAGCGGUGAAAUUGCGUAGACUCUCGGGAGGACCACCAGUGGCGAAGGCGGCCUCCUGGGCUGUUUCUGACCGCUGAAGGCGAAAGCUAGGGGAGCGAACGGGAUUAGAAACCCCGGUAGUCCUUAGCCGUAAACGAUUGGAUGCUGGGUUUGGGGGGUAUAGAUCCCCUCCGUGCCGAAGCUAACGCGUUAAGCAUCCCGCCUGGGGAUUACGGCCGCAAGGCUUAAACUCAAACGAAUUGACGGGGGCCCGCACAAGCAGCGGAGCGUGUGGUUUAAUUCGAUGCUACACGAAGAACCUUACCUGGGCUUGACAUGUAGGUAGUAGUGAAGCGAAAGCGGAACGACCCUUCGGGGAGCCUACACAGGUGCUGCAUGGCUGUCGUCAGUUCGUGCCGUGAGGUGUCGGGUUAAGUCCCGUAACGAACGCAACCCUUGCCCUUAGUUACAUGUGUCUAAGGGGACUGCCCGGGACAACUGGGAGGAAGGUGGGGAUGACGUCAAGUCAGCAUGGCCUUUAUGUCCAGGGCUACACACACGCUACAAUGGCCGGUACAAUGGGUCGCCAAGCCGUGAGGCGGAGCCAAUCCCCCAAAGCCGGUCUAAGUUCGGAUUGUGGGCUGCAACUCGCCCAUAUGAAGCUGGAGUUGCUAGUAACCGCGCGUCAGCAAUAGUGCGGUGAAUACGUUCCCGGGCCUUGUACACACCGCCCGUCACGUCAUGGAAGCUGGCAACACCUGAAGCCAGUGAGCUAACCCGCAAGGGGGCAGCUGUCGAAGGUGGG
RNAcentral lists this ribosomal RNA (1301 nucleotides) under uncultured organism. Its description in RNAcentral is "bacterial SSU rRNA". It matches the Rfam family "Bacterial small subunit ribosomal RNA", at positions 145 to 1466 of the family's 1533-position model. The record is from RNAcentral.